RNAcentral lists this small RNA (93 nucleotides) under Klebsiella pneumoniae. RNAcentral describes it as "RtT sRNA". It matches the Rfam family "RtT RNA", at positions 24 to 112 of the family's 130-position model. From Rfam's summary of the family: This family represents a bacterial cis-regulatory element known as RtT RNA. The record is from RNAcentral. Lineage: Bacteria; Pseudomonadati; Pseudomonadota; Gammaproteobacteria; Enterobacterales; Enterobacteriaceae.
GAGAACCUCCGGGGGCAGGAGGUUCGACUCGAGCGAAGCGAGAGAACGUUGCGUCAGCAACGGCCCGCAGGGCGAGCCACGAAGUGGUGAGUC